This 157-nucleotide microRNA precursor is filed under the name Lotus japonicus. RNAcentral's name for it is "miR7539 stem-loop (lja-MIR7539)". The record is from miRBase by way of RNAcentral. Lineage: Eukaryota; Viridiplantae; Streptophyta; Magnoliopsida; Fabales; Fabaceae.
AAUUGGGGUCCUGGGUUCGAAGCUAGCAUCGAGAGAGAGAGCGACGAGGAUUGAUGGAAGUUGAUAAAAUGAGGUAUUUCAUAAUACCUCUCUUUUCAUUUUCAUUUUGGUCCCUUUAUUUCUUUUUCAUUUUCAUUUUGGUCCCUUUAUUUCUUUU